This 486-nucleotide ribosomal RNA is filed under the name uncultured bacterium. RNAcentral's name for it is "partial 16S ribosomal RNA". It matches the Rfam family "Bacterial small subunit ribosomal RNA", at positions 30 to 507 of the family's 1533-position model. The record is from RNAcentral.
AUUGAACGCUGGCGGCAUGCCUUACACAUGCAAGUCGAACGGCAGCACGGGUGCUUGCACCUGGUGGCGAGUGGCGAACGGGUGAGUAAUACAUCGGAACAUGUCCUGUAGUGGGGGAUAGCCCGGCGAAAGCCGGAUUAAUACCGCAUACGAUCUACGGAUGAAAGCGGGGGACCUUCGGGCCUCGCGCUAUAGGGUUGGCCGAUGGCUGAUUAGCUAGUUGGUGGGGUAAAGGCCUACCAAGGCGACGAUCAGUAGCUGGUCUGAGAGGACGACCAGCCACACUGGAACUGAGACACGGCCCAGACUCCUACGGGAGGCAGCAGUGGGGAAUUUUGGACAAUGGGCGAAAGCCUGAUCCAGCAAUGCCGCGUGUGUGAAGAAGGCCUUCGGGUUGUAAAGCACUUUUGUCCGGAAAGAAAUCCUUGGCCCUAAUACGGUCGGGGGAUGACGGUACCGGAAGAAUAAGCACCGACUAACUACGUG